GACGAACGCUGGCGGCGUGCCUAACACAUGCAAGUCGAGCGAGAAAGUCCCUUCGGGGGCGAGUACAGCGGCGAACGGGUGAGUAACACGUGGGCAACCUGCCCCAAGGAGCGGGACAACCUCGGGAAACCGGGGCUAAUACCGCAUGACCCGCCACGGCUCAAGCCGUGUCGGCAAAAGGUCGCUUCGGCCUCCGCCUUGGGAUGGGCCCGCGGCGCAUUAGCUUGUUGGUGAGGGUAACGGCCCACCAAGGCGACGAUGCGUAGCUGGUCUGAGAGGACGAUCAGCCACACUGGGACUGAGACACGGCCCAGACUCCUACGGGAGGCAGCAGUGGGGAAUCUUGCGCAAUGGGCGAAAGCCUGACGCAGCAACGCCGCGUGAGGGACGACGGCCCUCGGGUUGUAAACCCUCUUUCAGCGGGGACGAGGCCGACGCGGUUAAUACCCGCGAGCGGUGACGCUACCCGCAGAAGAAGCCCCGGCUAACU
RNAcentral lists this ribosomal RNA (490 nucleotides) under uncultured bacterium. RNAcentral describes it as "partial 16S ribosomal RNA". It matches the Rfam family "Bacterial small subunit ribosomal RNA", at positions 28 to 502 of the family's 1533-position model. The record is from RNAcentral.